UUUAUAUUACUUGUAUGAUUUGGUACACUUGCCAAUUUGUCAACAAGUUUUUGGCGCCGUUGCCGGGGACUCGAGGUUUAUUUUUCUAGUAGUGUGAAUUGAUUGAAUUCGACUUGAUUGUAAUUAUUUUUGUUUUAUUUUUGUUUUAUUGCGUUUUGUUUUAUUUUCUAUAAAAGUGCUUUUAGGGGUGUGUUUCUUGUGCAUGCAGGAGACAAUACAUACUAGAAGCAGG
Molecule: long non-coding RNA, 232 nt
Filed under: Vigna radiata
Lineage: Eukaryota; Viridiplantae; Streptophyta; Magnoliopsida; Fabales; Fabaceae
Description: long non-coding RNA (VRAD_LNC011564)
Source: RNAcentral